Molecule: non-coding RNA, 105 nt
Organism: Triticum aestivum (bread wheat)
Lineage: Eukaryota; Viridiplantae; Streptophyta; Magnoliopsida; Poales; Poaceae
Source: Rfam
CAUAUACUCCCUCCGUUCCAAAAUAGAUGACCCAACUUUGUACUAACUUUAGUACAAAGUUAGCACAAAUUUGGGUCAUCUAUUUUGGAACGGAGGGAGUAUGUG